This is a non-coding RNA of Phrynosoma platyrhinos (Desert horned lizard), 71 nucleotides long. Lineage: Eukaryota; Metazoa; Chordata; Lepidosauria; Squamata; Phrynosomatidae. The record is from the annotation of a GenBank genome assembly.
UGCUGUGUGGCAUAGUGGUUUGAGUGUUGGACUACAACUCUGGAGACUAGUGUUCGAUUCCCACUCAGUCA